This 464-nucleotide ribosomal RNA is filed under the name uncultured bacterium. RNAcentral's name for it is "partial 16S ribosomal RNA". It matches the Rfam family "Bacterial small subunit ribosomal RNA", at positions 339 to 795 of the family's 1533-position model. The record is from RNAcentral.
CUACGGGCGGCUGCAGUGAGGAAUUUUGCGCAAUGGGGGAAACCCUGACGCAGCAACGCCGCGUGAGCGAAGAAGGCCCUCGGGUCGUAAAGCUCUGUCAAGUGGGAAAAAAAUUUUUUGAUCAAUAGUCAAAAGACUUGAUGGUACCACUGGAGGAAGCACCAGCUAACUCCGUGCCAGCAGCCGCGGUAAUACGGAGGGUGCAAGCGUUGUUCGGAUUUACUGGGCGUAAAGAGCGUGUAGGCGGUUUAGCAAGUCAGAUGUGAAAGCCCUGGGCUCAACCCGGGAAGUGCAUUUGAAACUGCUUCACUAGAGUAUGGGUGAGGAGAUUGGAAUUCCUGGUGUAGAGGUGAAAUUCGUAGAUAUCAGGAGGAACACCCGUGGCGAAGGCGAUUCUCUGGACCAAUACUGACGCUGAGACGCGAAAGCGUGGGGAGCAAACAGGAUUAGAUACCCCGGUAGUC